This 706-nucleotide ribosomal RNA is filed under the name Photuris divisa. Its description in RNAcentral is "bacterial SSU rRNA". It matches the Rfam family "Eukaryotic small subunit ribosomal RNA", at positions 729 to 1332 of the family's 1831-position model. The record is from RNAcentral. Lineage: Eukaryota; Metazoa; Arthropoda; Insecta; Coleoptera; Lampyridae.
GCCGCCGGUUCGUCGCUCGCGACGCCACUGGCGCGCACGCUGGACGUCCAGCCGGUACUACGAACUCGCCUACGGGGUGCUCUUAACCGAGUGUCCAGGCGGGGGCCGGCAACGUUACUUUGAACAAAUUAAAGUGCUUAAAGCAGGCUAAAUUCCGCUCGCAUACACGCGCAUGGAAUAAUCGAAUAGGACCUCCGUUCUAUUUUGUUGGGUUUUUGUGGAACGACAGACGGAGGUAAUGAUCAAUGGGUGCGGAUGGGGGCAUUCGUAUUGCGACGUUAGAGGUGAAAUUCUUGGAUCGUCGCAAGACGGACUUAAGCGAAAGCAUUUGCCAAAAACGCUUUCAUCGAUCAAGAACGAAAGUUAGAGGUUCGAAGGCGAUCAGAUACCGCCCUAGUUCUAACCAUAAACUAUGCCAGCUAGCGAUCCGCCGAAGUUACUUCUACGACUCGGCGGGCAGCUUCCGGGAAACCAAAGCUUUCGGGUUCCGGGGGAAGUAUGGUUGCAAAGCUGAAACUUAAAGGAAUUGACGGAAGGGCACCACCAGGAGUGGAGCCUGCGGCUUAAUUUGACUCAACACGGGAAACCUCACCAGGCCCGGACACCGGAAGGAUUGACAGAUUGAGAGCUCUUUCUUGAUUCGGUGGGUGGUGGUGCAUGGCCGUUCUUAGUUGGUGGAGCGAUUUGUCUGGUUAAUUCCGAUAAC